UUUGUUAUUCAUAUUAUUAGCAAGUCUUUGAUUUCUUAACGAUCGAAUCUAAUCUAGUAAGAGGCCCCCAUUGAUUAGAACAGAAAAUUGCGGAACUAAGCCCACCCCAAAACGAGUGCUCUCCUAUUUGCACUUCCCCAGAGCUCUACCAAUACAGUUGUCAGUCAUAUUAUUUUACAAGUACCUAAUCUACGCGAUUGAAAGCUGUUAAACCUCUACUGUAUUUCCAAGAUAAACUGAAAUAAAUUAUUACCUGCCAUGAAUCAUAAGCAGCAUUGAGAAUGAACAGAGGGGUUCUGACGUUGGCAAUUAAAUUCUGAGGGAAGAAGCACUAUACACAAAAAAAAGAUAUGAAAUCGUAAAUGGCUAAUUGCUAAACUAGAAAAACAUAGUAAGAAUUUCAUUAUCUUCUCAACCAAAAACAACAAAAAAAUAGUCUCACCGAAGUUGGAUCCAGAUGAUUGGUACAAGUGCUUGGCAGAUUCCUCUGGACACCCUAUUAAAAUUUGUGGGAACUUGAAGCAUUAAUUUGAGGUGUCAUGUCUAGUACAAAUUGUUUCAAAUUUCAAACAUGUUGAGGGGCGCUGUUGGAAACUUGCUGGAUAAAAGUGUGAUUUUAAAAGGAGAAAAAAACUACAUCCUAUUGCGACAAACUUCAGCGUUUAGAAAAGGAAAUGUUCAAGUGGGAUAGAUAUAAGGACUGGAAAAGAGAGCACUAUCAGUGACCCUCUCACAUUGUUUAGCCAAAGGUUUUAUGCUCUGUUGAAUUCCAAAAACUGUUAUUUUUCCUAUUCAUAUCACCUUUGGUCCAAAACCACAACCGACCCUUAGUUUACUUUUGUCCAUUCCGCUUAUUUUCCUAGGAAUUCCAAAUUCUUCAGUUAAUUCUUUGGUUCAAUGCAUAAUAAUUAAUUUUUGGACUCUUUAUCAAAAAGUAUAAUUACCCAAACUGUCUCUAGUUUGUUGUGUUCUUCUCAAACUGCAAAAACACACAUCAAAAUGAACUUGCAUCGCCCAUCGACUGUUUCUCUCUUUUAUCCAUCCUAUAUUUUCUAUUCCACAAAUUGCCUACUUGAGCAUAACCUUUUGCAUGUUGGACGCAACCAAGAAUAUAGGAGUUCUAUAUUUGUGUGUGUGCAUGAAAACCUAAAAGGAAAUUCAUACUCAUGGUUAUACCUUGUUCCCAAUUACUGGAGAAUCAUCCGCAAACCAGGUAUCCUGCCUCUCGGACUGGCAGUGAGCAAAGCAUGAAUUUAGGAAUAGCCCAUUUUGUCUAGAUUUCGCAAAGCCUUUUACUGCAUUCAUCAUAUGAGCCCUAAAACCUGCUCAACAACAGUUUUUAUUGAUCGAUUCAUUCUCCUUGGAUAUGAAAACAAGAUUAAGAAAUAUCAAGCAGAUACAGUCACUCACCUUGCAGAAAUUGGAUUUGGGAUGCUGAACAUCGUGCAUUGUUCAUUUUACAGUCGUGCCAAUUACCACGAGGAUCAGCUAUCGGAGGAGCCAAGCUUUCUUGGACCUAAAUAAGAAAUAAAAACAGAGAUUUAAUUUACUACAUUUGUUAUUCAUAUUAUUAGCAAGUCUUUGAUUUCUUAACGAUCGAAGACUAAUAAUUAAAACUCCAUCUGAUUUCUAAAUGUUUUCUGAAGGUCCAGUCUUCCUCAGUACGAAUCUAAUCUAGUAAGAGCCCCCCAUUGAUUAGAACAGAAAAUUGCGGAACUAAGCCCACCCCAAAACGAGUGCUCUCUUAUUUGCACUUCCCCAGAGCUCUACCAAUACAGUUGUCAGUCAUAUUUUUUUACAAGUACCUAAUCUACGCGAUUGAAAGCUGUUAAACUUCUACUGUAUUUCCAAGAUAAACUGAAAUAAAUUAUUACCUGCCAUGAAUCAUAAGCAGCAUUGAGAAUGAACAGAGGGGUUCUGACGUUGGCAAUUAAAUUCUGAGGGAAGAAGCACUAUACACAAAAAAAGAUAUGAAAUCGUAAAUGGCUAAUUGCUAAAAUAGAAAAACAUAGUAAGAAUUUCAUUAUCUUCUUAACCAAAAACAACAAAAAAAUAGUCUCACCGAAGUUGGAUCCAGAUGAUUGGUACAAGUGCUUGGCAGAUUCCUCUGGACACCCUAUUAAAAUUUGUGGGAACUUGAAGCAUUAAUUUGAGGUGUCAUGUCUAGUACAAAUUGUUUCAAAUUUCAAACAUGUUGAGGGGCGCUGUUGGAAACUUGCUGGAUAAAAGUGUGAUUUUAAAAGGAGAAAAAAACUACAUCCUAUUGCGACAAACUUCAGCGUUUAGAAAAGGAAAUGUUCAAGUGGGAUAGAUAUAAGGACUGGAAAAGAGAGCACUAUCAGUGACCCUCUCACAUUGUUUAGCCAAAGGUUUUAUGCUCUGUUGAAUUCCAAAAACUGUUAUUUUUCCUAUUCAUAUCACCUUUGGUCCAAAACCACAACCGACCCUUAGUUUACUUUUGUCCAUUCCGCUUAUUUUCCUAGGAAUUCCAAAUUCUUCAGUUAAUUCUUUGGUUCAAUGCAUAAUAAUUAAUUUUUGGACUCUUUAUCAAAAAGUAUAAUUACCCAAACUGUCUCUAGUUUGUUGUGUUCUUCUCAAACUGCAAAAACACACAUCAAAAUGAACUUGCAUCGCCCAUCGACUGUUUCUCUCUUUUAUCCAUCCUAUAUUUUCUAUUCCACAAAUUGCCUACUUGAGCAUAACCUUUUGCAUGUUGGACGCAACACCAGAACUGCAUCUUAGUACUCGGAGGAACAAUUUAAAAUAGGUGCACAUAAUGUCAAGAGAUAAGGAAUAAAGCAGAGCUGUAGAGGGCUACAAGUUCACUAAAAACUUUAGGAUACAGCAGUCCUUAGAUAAACUGAUUGCAAAUGCAUUUACAAUAGAGAAAAGAAAAAUAUCGAUAAUUUAUGCAAUAAGACAACAUCAACUUUCCGUGAGGGUUUGAAAUUUAGUAGUAAUGCAUCAUUUCUUUGAUAAAUUUGCAAAGUAUCACAAUAUCAUUACCAAUGUAUCAAAUUAGUGCCCAAACCUAACCUAUAAAAUUACAUGUAGGACUAUCAGAAUAGGGCAACGUGCCACGGCAGGUACAUAGGGAAAACAAUAUUUUUGUUUCAAUAAGUACCUGUAAGCUUACUACACCAGCAAAGAAAUUUCUAAUCGUGUGUCCACCAGAUACAUCAAUGCUGAAAAUCAAAGGAAGAAUUAUAAAAUAAUACUAAAAGGCAGAGUUAUGGAUCAUAUAACUGCACAACUUAAACAGGGCAUAACUAAAAAGACAGAAUUGGAAAAUUACACGUCCAUAAAUAAUCCAGCAUCACUCAAGCACUUCACUUUGGUUCUUCCUGGAAUGUGAUAUUAAAAGGAGAAAAAAACUACAUCCUAUUGCGACAAACUUCAGCGUUUAGAAAAGGAAAUGUUCGAGUGGGAUAGAUAUAAGGACUGGAAAAGAGAGCACUAUCAGUGACCCUCUGACAUUGUUUAGCCAAAGAUUUUAUGCUCUGUUGAAUUCCAAAAACUGUUAUUUUUCCUAUUCAUGUCACCUUUGGUCCAAAACCACAACCGACCCUUAGUUUACUUUUGUCCAUUCCGCUUAUCUUCCUAGGAAUUCCAAAUUCUUCAGUUAAUUCUUUGGUUCAAUGCAUAAUAAUUAAUUUUUAGAUGCUUUAUCAAAAAGCAUAACUACCCAAACUGUCUCUAGUUUGUUUGUUCUUCUCAAACUGCAAAAACACACAUCAAAAUGAACUUGCAUCGCCCAUCUACUGUUUCUCUCUUUUAUCCAUCCUAUAUUUUCUAUUCCACAAAUUGCCUACUUGAGCAUAACCUUUUGCAUGUUGGACGCAACACCAGAACUGCAUCUUAGUACUCGGAGGAACAAUUUAAAAUAGGUGCACAUAAUGUCAAGAGAUAAGGAAUAAAGCAGAGCUGUAGAGGGCUACAAGUUCACUAAAAACUUUAGGAUACAGCAGUUCUUAGAUAAACUGAUUGCAAAUGCAUUUACAAUAGAGAAAAGAAAAAUAUCGAUAAUUUAUGUAAUAAGACAACAACUUUCCGCGAGGGUUUGAAAUUUAGUAGUAAUGCAUCAUUUCUUUGAUAAAUUUGCGAAGUAUCACAAUAUCAUUACCAAUGUAUCAAAUUAGUGCCCAAACCUAACCUAUAAAAUUACAUGUAGGACUAUCAGAAUAGGGCAACAUGCCACAGCAGGUACACAGGGAAAAC
This 4218-nucleotide long non-coding RNA is filed under the name Olea europaea (common olive). RNAcentral describes it as "long non-coding RNA (OEUR_LNC001059)". The record is from RNAcentral. Lineage: Eukaryota; Viridiplantae; Streptophyta; Magnoliopsida; Lamiales; Oleaceae.